GCCAACGUAGCUCAGUUGGUAGAGCAACUGAUUCGUAAUCAGUAGGUCCGCGGUUCGAUUCCGCGCGUUGGCU
Deltaproteobacteria bacterium is the source of this 73-nucleotide non-coding RNA. Lineage: Bacteria; Pseudomonadati; Myxococcota; Myxococcia. The record is from Rfam.